GGGCUGCAGCCCCGGGGGCUGCCCCCGGAGCCUUCACAGCUCGUACCCGCUCUGAGGCGGCCGGCCGAGGCCGGGGGGCAGGAGCAAGGAGAAGGGCACAACCCUGCCGGGGCCCUGACGUGCUCCCGGAGAGCCAAGGGUUAACAUCGGCUCGCUUUUACCGAGCAGCCCUCCUUUCGCAUUGCAUCGAAGUCCUUUAAAGCUGUUUCUCUUCCCUCCUCCUCUCCCCGGCUGGAAAGACGAUUUAUCCAUGCAUGCUAAGUAAACAGAUCUUUGUUUUCGUCUUCCACCCACUGCCCUCUUUCUCCAGCUCGAAGCUGGAGUCUCGCCAAGGCGGCUGCAGCGAUCGCUGCCUCCACACACACACACGCUCACACACACGGGGGGGAAGAAGCCGGGUUUCUCGGAUGAGGCAACGAGCCUGCAAUUGGCAGGGACAAGGCAGGAAUUGUAAUUGCACUUCAUCAUGUGAUGGCUUAUGAAAGAGGAAGUUUGGAUGUUUUAGUCACGUACUCCUUUGCCCUCUUGCUUUAGCCUCCAGGUUCUCCGAAGGAAAAAAUUACAUAUAUUUAUAUAUACUGGUGGAAAGCCAAGAAACAGUGUGUUUGCACAUUUCAGAUCAUAAGCAGAGAUGGAGUGCUAGCUGAGCAAGGCUGCAGGGGAAGAAGAAAGCAAGGCUUUCAGCUGUGGCAGGCUUUUAACUGCAGGACAGAAAAUGUGAUCUGUAUUCAUUUUCCUUUAUUUUUAAUCAAAACUAGCUGCAUGGAAAAGUCAAGACGAGCAGUAUUCUAGUUCUGCCGCAUUUACUGCCUUUGAAUUCAUUCUGGUGGAAAAGGCAAAAAAAAGCCAAACAAAAACCCAUGUUCCUGAGCUCAAUGACAAAAAGCUGAUAAAAAAUAGUGGCAGUGCUACAUAGGAAAUGCGGUUUAUGUAUCAAAUCACAAAAAAAAAUACCUCAAAGCUGCUGACUGCUACAGCAGUAACUGCACAGGAAUUGAACAAAUAAUGCGUUUGUUUCUUGUUCCCUUUUUUUUCUCAUUUUUGAAACAGAAACCAUCCUUUUGUGCCUGAUCUCUGUGAAAUGCCGCUUGCUAUGACACACCAAGGCUAUAGGUAGGAGCAGUGAGUGCUGGAGGACGUCUGAUGGGAUGUGGGGCUGGGCAGGUCCGGGGCAGUGCCUGGUCAAGGAGCACCAUGGUAGCAUGGAUGGGGGUCUAGCACGGUGUGGAAAGCCUUUGUCUUGUUCUGGUGUGCCCAGUAUCAUGGGUUAGGGAAAGAAGGGAGAGGAAAGGUUGGAGAGGGCAGCUCUUUGAGAUGAACUCUGUCUGCCACCCCUACAUUGCCAUGGCAAGCCCCUUUUCACUGUGUGUUUUUUGGCUUUUUUCAGUGAACCACACUGAGAUUUUACUGUGUUUUUCUUUCUCCCUGCAGGAUCCUAUUUACUUUCCCACCUGUCCUCUGUGCUAGUAGAAGUGAUCGCAUGCAGAUCCUUGUCCCAGAACUUUGCCCCUAGCCUGCACUUUACCCACAUAUUUAUCCCCCAUGGGGCCUGCCCUUCCUUCUGUGUCCAAACCAGUGCUCCUCACUUGCUCUCCUGUGCCCUUGGCAUUCCUCUUUCCCUCCCCAUCGAGAACGCUCUCACAUACUCAUCCAGCAGAUAUACACUGCUUCCUCCACAGUUCUUAUUGGCAUCCUUCUGUUGCGGCAGAAGUCCUGCAGGGUAGUAUCAAAAUGGCCAGAGCCAAGAUGGAAAAGUGAUUAUGUUGGAGAGUGCUACCACCUCUCCUUCACUGAUCCAUAAUGAAUCAUGGAGCUUGUUCUCCCAGAACUGAGAGAAGAGAGGCUGGGAAUAGUCCUUGAGGUUUUGGAUUUAGUCAGAUGCAGGUGAUUGUGGGCCAAGAAUGUUAGUGCCACAGGGAAAAAAAAAGAUACUGAUGCAAAUGAGAGUGUAAUCAGGCACAGCUUGUUGACAUAAAUAGGCUUUGGACAGGCUCAUGGUAAGCCACCGAUCCUGCAGAUGUUUACAACCACUUAUAACUUUAUUCACGGGAGCAUCACUAUGAAUGUAAAGCCAUGUGCACUUACGUGCUCAUCGGGUGAGAGCACGCUUGCCUGAGAGCCGCUUGUCAGUGGCAUGCUGACGGCUGCCCUGCAGCCUGGAGCUGACUGUUGAUGGCAGGAGCUGACAGAGGCACUGGCACAGAAAUACUCUACUGAGGCUGGAGAGAGGUCACUGCACUAGCUCCCUGCAAGGCAGGACAUGCCAGAGGAUUGAGAGGGACUUGAGCAGCUACUCAGUGUCUGCCCUUUCCCAUACAUGGUGCCUUUUAUUAACUCCUUGAAAACAGCUGCAUUGAACGCUGCUGUUUCGUGUUAACUUCUGAAGAGCUGUGAGGCACCUAAGUAGAGCCUGCCUAGAAAAGGAAACAGCAGCAGGAGACUGGUGUACCAUCUCCUGAAAUACAAGUAGAAAAAAAAUAUCAAGGAAAAGAUCAUGGAAGUACUUGAGAAUUUCAGAAGUUACUACCCUUGGAAGAGAAAGAAAAACUUCAGAGAGACACUUCCAGAUACCAGAAGAAAGGGCAGUACCCCUCCUUUGCAGGGAACCCCUCAGAGAGCAUUCUGCGCAGUCAGAGGAGGGAAGAAAUGCUCUUCUCUGUGCUUCAGCCCAUCAUAGCCUUAUCUUUUUGAUGACUGCAGUGUAAUAUGAACAUACAUCCCUCCUGCUCACGCUGAGCUCCAAAGAGAGGUGCCUGCUAGGAAGUACAGUUGAGUUCAUAUUUGAUUAAAAGAACACCAGCAACAUUAAUAACUGGUAGACCUGUGCUGGAAUUGGCAAUUAAACUCAGUCUCCUCCUGCGAAUUUUAGUCAUUAAAGGAACUUGCCAAAGGCUGGGACUGGGGUAUCACUUAGUCUCCCAAAUAGGACUGGAUGAGGGACCAGUCAUCUUCAUAAUGGGUCCUGCCAAGAACCUUGCAUCAUGCUUGAGGAAUGGGCAUGUCAGUGAGCUCACUGGGGUAGCUGCAGAGGCUGCUUGCACAGCCACCACUCUCUGCUGAUUCAGGGGUCUUGCAUGUGCUCCUGGAAGGUGCCAGAUAGGCAUCUCUCAACAACCUGCCCCCUAACACAUCUCAUCACAGUCUCAACACAGUGUUCAUCAUGAUCAGGAGCACUAAGCAGCUGCCUCUUUGCUCCAUGGUCUGCUUCCACUUCCCAUACGCCUUGUGCAGCCUCAGAGGUUGAUGACUUUUGAAUAUUGCAGAUCUGGGAUGGGUUUCAAUGGCUGAUCCAGAGGCAAGAGGGUGAUCAUCUUGAUCAUCCAUUUUCCCUCUGCCAGUUACUAUUAUUGCUAGCUGCUGUUACACACACAUUGUAAUUAAGUGGAAAAAAUACAGACCAAAUGAAAAAGGGUACAAGCCUCUCAAAAACAUCUCUGCUUUAGCUGCAGCCUGACUCAGCCUUCAAUUAACAUUCUUACUUAAAAUAGUUUUGUUAUACAGCUUUUGUUAAAUCUUACAUAAUAGCAGACCAAAUCACCACCCCAGAGCGCCAUGAUGAAGAGAAGAGCUUGGCCCUGGUUUCCAGAGCACCAUCUCAUCCUGUCUUUGAUCCAGAUGGUCUUGGAUAUGGGUGAGUUACUGGAGGAGAGCAUGCAGCACACUUGCAGCUUUGCCUUGGUGGGCACAAUGAGCUGGUGCUGCCACUAGAAGUGGUCCCACUCUCCCCCACUCUGGCUGCUUGGUUCUGCCUAACGCUGCCCUUGGCAUCUUACCUGCAUUGCUGCUGGAGCAAAUCCGGCAGCACCAACAGGUGCAGAGCAGCUAAACCUGCCCAGGUGCCCCCAUCCUGCUGUGCUGAGGGUGCUCCUGGGGCAAAAGGGAACAGGCUGGGAUGGCAGGCUGGGAAGGGACCUCAGCAGUGGGAUCACUUUGGAGCUGUAGCAGAAGCCUCUCAUGCUGCACCUCAUGCUGCACCUGUACCCAUCCCGUCACUCACCAGUGGCUGUGCCCCAUCUCAUCAGGCUGCUGGAGUGAACACUGGGGAAGAGGAAGGGACACAUGGACCAGCUGGGCUUCCAAGGGUCACAGGGCCGCUCUGGAUAUAGGUCUACCAUUUCCUGCCAGGGCCUGAGGAGCUUGAGAACUGGGAUCCAUCUCUUGCAGAGCACUAUAGCAUCCCUGCCUCCAUCACCAACAUUGAUAAUGUGGGAAAACCCCUGCACUGCAGAGGAGUGUCCUUAUGGCUCAGUAGAGCUACAAAAACAUUAAGUACCAGCAUGAUUUUUUUGAUGUUGUUCUUAUCGGGCCUGGUGUCUAACUGGUACAAAACUGGAAUAAAACAUGUGUACAUGUGUGUGUGUGUGUAUUCAUUUAUGUGCGUGCCCACAAAAUAUAAAAGGGGACUUUGUAUUAAAAUCUGGAAAAUUGGCACAUGGGAUGCAGGAAGUGAGGAAGAUACUCCCUUGUCUACUUCAGUUUGGAGGACUACUUUCCGUUUGAAGCCAUUGAUGUCAA
Long non-coding RNA from Neopelma chrysocephalum (saffron-crested tyrant-manakin), 4515 nucleotides. RefSeq lists it as uncharacterized. The transcript is spliced from 4 exons. The record is from RefSeq and is a predicted model, not a curated record. NCBI's taxonomy places the organism in Eukaryota, Metazoa, Chordata, Aves, Passeriformes, Pipridae.